CCUACGGGGGACAGUAGUGAGGAAUAUUGGUCAAUGGACGAGAGUCUGAACCAGCCAAGUAGCGUGAAGGAUGACUGCCCUAUGGGUUGUAAACUUCUUUUAUAUGGGAAUAAAAUGUUCCACGUGUGGGAUUUUGUAUGUACCAUAUGAAUAAGGAUCGGCUAACUCCGUGCCAGCAGCCGCGGUAAUACGGAGGAUCCGAGCGUUAUCCGGAUUUAUUGGGUUUAAAGGGAGCGUAGGUGGAUUGUUAAGUCAGUUGUGAAAGUUUGCGGCUCAACCGUAAAAUUGCAGUUGAAACUGGCAGUCUUGAGUACAGUAGAGGUGGGCGGAAUUCGUGGUGUAGCGGUGAAAUGCUUAGAUAUCACGAAGAACUCCGAUUGCGAAGGCAGUUCACUGGACUGCAACUGACACUGAGGCUCGAAAGUGUGGGUAUCAAACAGGAUUAGAUACCCCGGUAGUC
This 460-nucleotide ribosomal RNA is filed under the name uncultured bacterium. RNAcentral describes it as "partial 16S ribosomal RNA". It matches the Rfam family "Bacterial small subunit ribosomal RNA", at positions 338 to 795 of the family's 1533-position model. The record is from RNAcentral.